GGACUACUCGGGUUUCUAAUCCCGUUCGCUCCCCUGGCUUUCGCGCCUCAGCGUCAGAAGAGGUCCAGCAGGUCGCUUUCGCCACCGGCGUUCCUUCCGAUAUCUACGCAUUUCACCGCUCCACCGGAAGUUCCACCUGCCCCUACCUCCCUCCAGAGUCCCAGUAUCCAAGGCACGUUUCCGGUUGAGCCGAAAGAUUUCACCCCGGACUUGGGAAUCCGCCUACGCGCCCUUUAAGCCCAGUGAUUCCGAACAACGUUCGCACGGUUCGUCUUACCGCGGCUGCUGGCAC
RNAcentral lists this ribosomal RNA (292 nucleotides) under uncultured bacterium. RNAcentral's name for it is "partial 16S ribosomal RNA". RNAcentral also lists the same sequence under 2 other names. The record is from RNAcentral.